GAGGUCACAAGGGGUAUACAAGGAGAUAUCCCAUGGUGUAUGCUCUUUGCGGAUGAUGUGGUGCUACUUGACGAUAGUCGGACGGGGGUAAAUAGGAAGUUAGAGUUAUGGAGACAAACCUUGGAAUCGAAAGGGUUUAGGCUUAGUAGAACUAAAACCGAGUACAUGAUGUGCGGUUUCAGUACUACUAGCUGUGAGGAGGAGGAGGUUAGCCUUGAUGGCCAGGUGGUACCUCGGAAGGACACCUUUCGGUAUUUGGGGUCAAUGUUGCAGGAGGAUGGGGGUAUUGAUGAAGAUGUGAACCAUCGAAUCAAAGCCGGAUGGAUGAAAUGGCGCCAAGCUUCUGGCAUUCUCUGUGAUAAGAGAGUGCCACAAAAGCUAAAAGGCAAGUUCUACAGGACGGCGGUUCGACCCGCAAUGUUGUAUGGCGCGGAGUGUUGGCCGACUAAAAGGCGACAUGUUCAACAGUUAGGUGUGGCGGAGAUGCGUAUGUUGAGAUGGAUGUGUGGCCACACGAGGAAGGAUCGAGUCCGGAAUGAUGAUAUACGAGAUAGAGUUGGGGUAGCACCAAUUGAGGAGAAGCUUGUCCAACAUCGUUUGAGAUGGUUUGGGCAUAUUCAGCGCAGGCCUCCAGAAGCUCCAGUGCAUAGCGGACGGCUAAAGCGUGCGGAGAAUGUCAAGAGAGGGCGGGGUCGAUCGAUUUUGACAUGGGAGGAGUCCGUUAAGAGAGACCUGAAGGAUUGGAGUAUCGACAAAGAGCUAGCUAUGGACAGGGGUGCGUGGAAGCUUGCUAUC
Molecule: ribosomal RNA, 795 nt
Filed under: Triticum aestivum (bread wheat)
Lineage: Eukaryota; Viridiplantae; Streptophyta; Magnoliopsida; Poales; Poaceae
Description: partial small subunit ribosomal RNA
Source: RNAcentral